Molecule: long non-coding RNA, 664 nt
Organism: Armigeres subalbatus
Lineage: Eukaryota; Metazoa; Arthropoda; Insecta; Diptera; Culicidae
Exons: 3
Source: RefSeq, a predicted model, not a curated record
CUACAUAUUUCGAUUUGGCGGUUGAUCUCUCUAGCAAUGCAAAAAUCGUGCGGGCAGCGACCCCACUAAAAUCCUUUCAGGGUCUAUUAACCUUUUGCUCGUAUCCCUCCCAUCCAUAAACUUCUGAGCGGGUAGCAAACAGGCUGAUUAUGACUGUUAGCUAGAAUGAGAAAAAAAAUAGCGAGAGAUGUAAUUGUCGAGAGGACGAUUCAAUAACUCGGCUUAUCACGAAAAUUCAACUUCGUUGUUUUCUUGAUAUCCGGUGCCGAAGAUCGUGAAAAUGGGUUAAUCUGAGGAUUUGAAAGUCUCUUCUCGAUCACUUUGAACUGAUUAGUGGAAGAGGCAGCAGUGAUUCCGAAGUUGUCCUCGCGCCGUGGUUUGAAUAUUGAGAUCGUAGAUAGCCGUAAAGUAUAUUUCGUGCAGUGAGAAGGCGUGCAAACACUGCCGAACAAGAAAGGUUCGUGGCCUAAGCUGCAUGUGCCCGAUCACACCACAUCGGACAACGUCAUCGCUGACCCCACCAUCAGCUUCAGAGGUGUCCUGGGUACGCCCGGAAGAGGGUAUCGUACGCCAAAAGCGUGCCCUAGGCAGGGCGAGAACGAGCGACCGUUCACCGAGUUCAUUCGCUGCGAUUUUCCGCCUAGUUCCGUCGAGGAAAGGCACC